CGCGAAAAGAUGAAUAGCUAAAAAGAUAGAAGCCUUAACGAUAUUAGUCCGCGAAGUGGUCAGCCUCGGGCUGAUAGAGAGCAAUUACCUAUGACGGAAUGGGAGAUUUAAGCUUCUCUGAGGGAAGUAUAACAAACUUUAUAGAGCUUUAUAUAGAGCUUCACCGAGCUUUAUUUGAUCUUGACAAGAUACCCGAACUCGGUCGAUUUAUGUUUUACUAAUUUUAUUAUGCCCUUUUCAAUCGGUGAUAUUACUAAGGGCCUGGACAGUUCCAACAAUGAGUUGCAUCCACACCCGUGGAGGGAGCCGGACUGUGAAGGACGAGGAUUGCUUGGCCAGACCUCGGACGCGAACCCGGGUCUUUCUGCAUGGCACGCCAACGCGUUACCACGCGGUCAUUCGGUCGCCGAUCAAUCGAUAUCGUCCUCACGAUCUGUGGCAUUUCUCGUAUGGCAUCUUACACGAAACGGAAAUCUCCAACCCCUUUCUCGAUCGUCUGCGAUCGUUUUAGACAACGUUAG
RNAcentral lists this long non-coding RNA (521 nucleotides) under Androctonus crassicauda. Lineage: Eukaryota; Metazoa; Arthropoda; Arachnida; Scorpiones; Buthidae. The record is from RNAcentral.